RNAcentral lists this ribosomal RNA (429 nucleotides) under Fusobacteriota bacterium. RNAcentral describes it as "Fusobacteria bacterium partial 16S ribosomal RNA". It matches the Rfam family "Bacterial small subunit ribosomal RNA", at positions 355 to 776 of the family's 1533-position model. Lineage: Bacteria; Fusobacteriati; Fusobacteriota. The record is from RNAcentral.
UGGGGAAUAUUGCGCAAUGGGCGAAAGCCUGACGCAGCGACGCCGCGUGAGGGAUGAAGGUUUUCGGAUCGUAAACCUCUGUCAGAAGGGAAGAAACCGCACUGUGCUAAUCAGCAGUGCCUUGACGGUACCUUCCAAGGAAGCACCGGCUAACUCCGUGCCAGCAGCCGCGGUAAUACGGAGGGUGCAAGCGUUAAUCGGAAUUACUGGGCGUAAAGCGCACGUAGGCUGCUUUGUAAGUCAGGGGUGAAAUCCCACGGCUCAACCGUGGAACUGCCUUUGAUACUGCUUAGCUUGAAUCCGGGAGAGGAUGGCGGAAUACCAGGUGUAGGAGUGAAAUCCGUAGAUAGCUGGAGGAACAUCAGUAGCGAAGGCGGCCACCUGGACCGGUAUUGACGCUGAGGUGCGAAAGCGUGUGGAGCAAACAGG